Molecule: transfer RNA, 82 nt
Filed under: Bacillus solimangrovi
Lineage: Bacteria; Bacillati; Bacillota; Bacilli; Caryophanales; Bacillaceae
Rfam family: tRNA
About the family: Transfer RNA (tRNA) molecules are approximately 80 nucleotides in length.
Source: Rfam by way of RNAcentral
GGAGGGGUAGCGAAGAGGCUAAACGCGGCGGACUGUAAAUCCGCUCCCUACGGGUUCACAGGUUCGAAUCCUGUCCCCUCCA